UUAUUCAUCUUAUUACUUUAAAUCAUGUACAGAUGAGUAGUCGGCUGAGGUGCUUACUUUAUCAAAAAGAAAAUAAACUUUAACACAGUAAUUUUUGUUACUGAUCGAGAGAAGAAAGAAACAAAAAGAGAGAAAGAAUCUGUAUCUAUUUUUCAGUGCUUUGCUUUUUUACAAAAAAAAGAGAAUAAAUUUAUAAAUAAGGAUUUUAAAUAAAUUAUAGAACAGAUGACUGUUUACAUGAAAAAACUAAGUAACUAUUUUUAUUGUACGAUAAAUAAAAUUAUAAUUGUUUUAUUAAAAUUAAUUUAUUUUUUGCUUACAAUUUUUAGUGUGAGCUAUAAUUUCUAGUAAGAUGCAGUCGGUUUUAAGUGCUUUUGUGCCUAAACCCACAUGUCUACAUGUCAACUAUGGCGAUUUCUCAAGAUCCAUAAAACAUUUCUAAUAAUAUACCGUUCGACAUAAUGCAAAAUAACUAGACUUUGAAAGAUAAGAAUGUUAUAAAGUAAGAUAAGGCCAUUCGUACCACCUUUAAUUAUAUAUAUGAAAACAUAAGUUAUUUUCUGUACAUUGCAAUUUAAUUUAUAGAUUUUUUCUUACCGUGACAUGAGUUGUUAUUGAUAAUGGAACCAUGUUACCUGCUGUUAAACAAGAAGGAAUAAUACUUUUAUAAAGAGUUAAGAUUAAUAGCGUCUUUAAUCUUGGUGAGAAUUUGUACCAUUUCACAGCGUACCUGAAAAAAUAAAUGUGAGAAUUUAUUAUUUACCCAA
Long non-coding RNA from Monomorium pharaonis (pharaoh ant), 767 nucleotides. RefSeq lists it as uncharacterized. The transcript has 2 exons. NCBI's taxonomy places the organism in Eukaryota, Metazoa, Arthropoda, Insecta, Hymenoptera, Formicidae. The record is from RefSeq and is a predicted model, not a curated record.